UGGGGAAUAUUGCACAAUGGGGGAAACCCUGAUGCAGCGACGCCGCGUGAGUGAAGAAGUAUUUCGGUAUGUAAAGCUCUAUCAGCAGGGAAGAAAAUGACGGUACCUGACUAAGAAGCCCCGGCUAACUACGUGCCAGCAGCCGCGGUAAUACGUAGGGGGCAAGCGUUAUCCGGAUUUACUGGGUGUAAAGGGAGCGUAGACGGCUGAGCAAGUCAGAAGUGAAAGCCCGGGGCUCAACCCCGGGACUGCUUUUGAAACUGUCCGGCUCGAGUGCAGGAGAGGUAAGCGGAAUUCCUAGUGUAGCGGUGAAAUGCGUAGAUAUUAGGAGGAACACCAGUGGCGAAGGCGGCUUACUGGACUGUAACUGACGUUGAGGCUCGAAAGCGUGGGGAGCAAACAGGAUUAGAUACC
This 414-nucleotide ribosomal RNA is filed under the name uncultured bacterium. RNAcentral's name for it is "bacterial SSU rRNA". It matches the Rfam family "Bacterial small subunit ribosomal RNA", at positions 355 to 786 of the family's 1533-position model. The record is from RNAcentral.